This is a long non-coding RNA of Vitis riparia (riverbank grape), 885 nucleotides long. RefSeq lists it as uncharacterized. The transcript has 2 exons. The record is from RefSeq and is a predicted model, not a curated record. NCBI's taxonomy places the organism in Eukaryota, Viridiplantae, Streptophyta, Magnoliopsida, Vitales, Vitaceae.
UGCAAAGCCUCCUCCCUUUUCUUAUCAGAAGAGCUGAUCACAGUCACAUGAUGCCCCAUUGCCUUCGCUAUUUUAACACCCAGAUGACCAACUCCCCCCAAACCCAAAAUUCCUGCAUUGAGAACCUUACCGGACCCCAUGAACUGUCUUAAGGGACUGUAAGCCGUCACCCCAGCACACAGCAGUGGUGCAGCUUGCUCCGGUGAAAGCUUUUCUGGAAUCCUCACAACAAACCUGCAUUUGUUUGUGUUGAUUAGGAAGAUGUCAACAAAAUGUGUGAGAGGGAUGAAGAAAUAGGUGCAGACCCUGGGACCAAAGGGUAAUUAGUGGAGUGUACUUCGUUCCUCAUCUGAUGAAGAUCCGUGUGGUCCAUUCCACAGUAGAGCACCUUGAUCACCACGUCUUCAGGACCUGUUUUUCUGUUCAUGUAUACAUUCAAAGAUCAGCCAGUAGUGAAGAGAGCAGCCGAGAGACAGAAGGACAGAGUGAAACCUGAGAGUGAAUGAAUAAGGAGAGAGAAGCCCAGAAGCAUCCCUAGCAGCCCAGCCAACAACCCUUCUUCCCUCCAUCUUCUUAGGCCUCAAAAUCAAGUGACACCAAACACCGAACAGAGUGAAGAGAUAAAAAAAAAGGCAGAAGCUGAAGCUGAAGCUGUGGUGUAGUCCUUGGGGGGUUUGGGUUUUAUAUUCAUGAAAGGGUCCAUGGUUACAACCUUGCAUGCAAUUUUUUAAUGGCAUUCAAAUGAAAGCAGAGGUGCCUUUGGGGCAGAUUCUUUCCAUUCCGAACAAAAAAUUGAACUGCUGAUGGCGGCUGAGAGGAUCACAUCUCACACCCCAAUAAUUAUGGAUAUAUGUAUAUAUCAUUCCAUACAUCACCUCCUAUAAA